RNAcentral lists this ribosomal RNA (466 nucleotides) under uncultured Acholeplasma sp. RNAcentral's name for it is "bacterial SSU rRNA". It matches the Rfam family "Bacterial small subunit ribosomal RNA", at positions 910 to 1382 of the family's 1533-position model. Lineage: Bacteria; Bacillati; Mycoplasmatota; Mollicutes; Acholeplasmatales; Acholeplasmataceae. The record is from RNAcentral.
UUGACGGGACCCCGCACAAGCGGUGGAUCAUGUUGUUUAAUUCGAUGAUACGCGAAGAACCUUACCAGGUCUUGACAUCCCCCGCGAUGCUUUAGAGAUAAAGCGGAGGUAUUCGGGAGACAGGUGGUGCAUGGUUGUCGUCAGCUCGUGUCGUGAGAUGUUGGGUUAAGUCCCGCAACGAGCGCAACCCCUAUUGCUAGUUACCAUCAUUAAGUUGGGGACUCUAGCGAGACUGCCAGUGAUAAACUGGAGGAAGGUGGGGAUGACGUCAAAUCAUCAUGCCCCUUAUGACCUGGGCUACAAACGUGAUACAAUGGCUGGAACAAAGGGAUGCGAAGCAGUGAUGUGGAGCGAAACCCAUAAAAACAGUCUCAGUUCGGAUUGAAGUCUGCAACUCGACUUCAUGAAGUCGGAAUCGCUAGUAAUCGCGGAUCAGAACGCCGCGGUGAAUACGUUCUCGGGGUUU